RNAcentral lists this ribosomal RNA (253 nucleotides) under uncultured bacterium. RNAcentral's name for it is "partial 16S ribosomal RNA". It matches the Rfam family "Bacterial small subunit ribosomal RNA", at positions 524 to 776 of the family's 1533-position model. The record is from RNAcentral.
UACAGAGGUCUCAAGCGUUGUUCGGAUUCAUUGGGCGUAAAGGGUGCGUAGGCGGCGCGGUAAGUCGGGUGUGAAAUCUUGGAGCUUAACUCCGAAACUGCAUUCGAUACUGCCGUGCUUGAGGACUGGAGAGGAGACUGGAAUUUACGGUGUAGCGGUGAAAUGCGUGGAUAUCGUAAGGAAGACCAGUGGCGAAGGCGGCCUUCUGGACAGUGACUGACGCUGAGACGCGAAAGCGUGGGGAGCAAACAGG